CAGCAGUAGCCGCGGGAAAACGUAGGUGGCAAGCGUUGUCCGGAAUUAUUGGGCGUAAAGGGCUCGCAGGCGGUUUCUUAAGUCUGAUGUGAAAGCCCCCGGCUCAACCGGGGAGGGUCAUUGGAAACUGGGAAACUUGAGUGCAGAAGAGGAGAGUGGAAUUCCACGUGUAGCGGUGAAAUGCGUAGAGAUGUGGAGGAACACCAGUGGCGAAGGCGACUCUCUGGUCUGUAACUGACGCUGAGGAGCGAAAGCGUGGGGAGCGAACAGGAUUAGAUACCCCAGUAGUCCCUGUCUCUUAUAC
Molecule: ribosomal RNA, 304 nt
Filed under: uncultured bacterium
Lineage: Bacteria
Description: partial 16S ribosomal RNA
Rfam family: Bacterial small subunit ribosomal RNA
Source: RNAcentral